CACGCCCUAAACGAUGUCAACUAGCUGUUGGGCCCUUCGGGGCUUAGUAGCGUAGCUAACGCGUGAAGUUGACCGCCUGGGGAGUACGGUCGCAAGAUUAAAACUCAAAGGAAUUGACGG
RNAcentral lists this ribosomal RNA (120 nucleotides) under uncultured bacterium. Its description in RNAcentral is "partial 16S ribosomal RNA". It matches the Rfam family "Bacterial small subunit ribosomal RNA", at positions 796 to 916 of the family's 1533-position model. The record is from RNAcentral.